UACGUAGGGGGCGAGCGUUGUCCGGAGUUACUGGGCGUAAAGACGCACGCAGGCGGUCUGCUAAGUUUGGAGUGACAGUUGGUGGCUUAACUGCCAAAGUGCUUCGAAAACUGACAGACUUGAGGGCUUCAGAGGGACACGGAAUUCCGGGUGGAGUGGUGAAAUGCGUAGAGAUCCGGAGGAGCACCAAAGGCGAAGGCAGUGUCCUGGGGAGUACCUGACGCUCAGGUGCGAAAGCCAGGGGAGCGAACGGG
This 254-nucleotide ribosomal RNA is filed under the name uncultured bacterium. Its description in RNAcentral is "partial 16S ribosomal RNA". It matches the Rfam family "Bacterial small subunit ribosomal RNA", at positions 524 to 776 of the family's 1533-position model. The record is from RNAcentral.